GAUGCGCAGCACGAGAGCAAAGGGCGGUUACCCAACGGCCUUCGCUCUCAUGGCGUCCUCCUUGAUGUUACCUAAAAAUAAAACCAAGGGUGAUUAGAAGGAUUUAAACCUCAGACACAGGGAGCUGACCUAUUCACCUUAGAAUCCUCUGGGGCACCCAUUACAGUGUCUGUACCAAGGAGGCAACAAAGAACGGCAGAACAGACUGGAGCAGAAGGACAACCCAGCAGAGCCAAGCCAAAUCACUGACCCUCAGAGGCCUGAUGUGAAUGCUUCUGGCUUCAGUCCAUUGGAUUCUGCAGUAAUCUGCCGAUCUACAGUAUUACCACAGUAAAUAACCGAUAGACCUGAAAACGAAUGCAUGCCUCGUGCCAAAAUUGCAGGAAACCUCACCAGCAGAAACAAUUUUAUAUGAGGGAAUGUACUCUCUCCUUUGCAUUUUUCCUCAAAUCUAUAUUUUUAGCCCCUCACUUGUCUCUACAGAGCCUCAGUUGCUUAAUCUAAUUGCUGACUGAACAUCUCCAGGAAACUGUGUUGAGCACAACAUUUUACCCACGUGCCUGAUGGACAGGCCAAGCUGAAUGGAAGACUUCUGAGGCACUGGAGCAGAAGGGAAAACUUGCACAUGGUCACAAAGGACUUCACACUGUUCCAUCCCCUCUACUGCCAUCCAAGAGGCCUCUUGACUCUUCCAGAAUCAGAUGUAAAAGACAAGGUGUCAACGGAGGAUAGAUGUUUUCUCCUAUUAUACUGUGAAGGAAUGGGUGGAAGAAUUUUGAUAUGCUUCUU
This 789-nucleotide long non-coding RNA is filed under the name Homo sapiens (human). Its description in RNAcentral is "HSALNT0357873". The record is from RNAcentral. Lineage: Eukaryota; Metazoa; Chordata; Mammalia; Primates; Hominidae.